GUACUCGCUUCGGCAGUACAUAUUCUAAAACUGCACCGGUACAGAGACGAUUGACAUGGCACCUGGUCAAGGCUGCCACGCAAAAUCGUGAAGCAUUCUGCUUAAGA
Molecule: small nuclear RNA, 107 nt
Organism: Schistocerca piceifrons (Central American locust)
Lineage: Eukaryota; Metazoa; Arthropoda; Insecta; Orthoptera; Acrididae
Source: RefSeq, a predicted model, not a curated record